This 438-nucleotide ribosomal RNA is filed under the name uncultured bacterium. RNAcentral's name for it is "bacterial SSU rRNA". It matches the Rfam family "Bacterial small subunit ribosomal RNA", at positions 30 to 479 of the family's 1533-position model. The record is from RNAcentral.
AGUGAACGCUGGCGGCAGGCCUAAUACAUGCAAGUCGAACGGCAGCACAGCAGAGCUUGCUCUGUGGGUGGCGAGUGGCGGACGGGUGAGGAAUACGUGGGAAUCUGCCCAGUCGUGGGGGAUAACGUAGGGAAACUUACGCUAAUACCGCAUGCGCCCUUCGGGGAAAGCCGGGGACCUUCGGCCUGGCGCGAUUGGAUGAGCCCACGUCGGAUUAGCUAGUUGGCGGGGUAAAGGCCCACCAAGGCGACGAUCCGUAGCUGGUCUGAGAGGAUGAUCAGCCACACUGGAACUGAGACACGGUCCAGACUCCUACGGGAGGCAGCAGUAGGGAAUAUUGGACAAUGGGCGCAAGCCUGACCCAGCAACGCCGCGUGGAGGAAGACGGCCUCGGUUGUAACGUACCUUUUGUACGGGGUAAGGAGAGAGGACGGUACC